UCAUUCAGUUGGGCACUCUAGCGAGACUGCCGGUAAUAAACCGGAGGAAGUGGGGAUGACGUCAAAUCAUCAUGCCCCUUAUGACCUGGGCUACACACGUGCUACAAUGGUUGGUACAACGAGUUGCGAGUCGGUGACGGCGAGCUAAUCUCUUAAAGCCAAUCUCAGUUCGGAUUGUAGGCUGCAACUCGCCUACAUGAAGUCGGAAUCGCUAGUAAUCGCGGAUCAGCACGCCGCGGUGAAUACGUUCCCGGGCCUU
This 259-nucleotide ribosomal RNA is filed under the name uncultured Streptococcus sp. RNAcentral describes it as "partial 16S ribosomal RNA". It matches the Rfam family "Bacterial small subunit ribosomal RNA", at positions 1121 to 1382 of the family's 1533-position model. Lineage: Bacteria; Bacillati; Bacillota; Bacilli; Lactobacillales; Streptococcaceae. The record is from RNAcentral.